This is a long non-coding RNA of Amphiprion ocellaris (clown anemonefish), 694 nucleotides long. NCBI's taxonomy places the organism in Eukaryota, Metazoa, Chordata, Actinopteri, Pomacentridae. The record is from Ensembl.
GAAACUUGGAAUGACUUUUCAUAGGUUUCCCAGAGACUAUGGGUUGAGGAGGAAUUGGAAGUUUGUCGGCUUAGACCUGGUGUCAUUCCAUCAGUGUUAAACUUCCCAGCUCAUCUUGGAAGAGCACGUGCCAGAAAGACCACGACCAAGCAGCCUUGAGAUCUUAGACAGCGUCUCCCUCAGGUCCCUCUCUAUCUCCCCACACAUCCACCAACCACUGGAACACAUCUCCAAAGUUCUGCCGGGCCAGCUCAGCUUCCCCUCAGAAGUGCCGCCACCUGCCAGAUGAAGGAGCCUUUUGAGAGGCAGCUGGCAUCGUGAUUGGACUGUACUUUGGUCUGUUCCAAUCCAGCUUCAGCUCCAGAGACGGCAGGCGGGACGAGUCAACGGAGGCCGGGUGGACGAAGGCAUGAAGCUGAGUACAAUCCAGAAAACAACAGAGGAGGAGUGCAGGGCCAGAACAACCAGAGUAGCAUCGUAUGUCUCUUAGAAAACAUCAUAGUAUAGCCUUUGGUAUGAAAAAACGGCAUUAUAUACAUCGUAUAUUGUACAAAUAACAAGUCAAAGCAAAGAGACAUACAUUGUAGAAUUGUAGUAAUUGUGGGCUGACUGAUUUACUGAUUAUCAGUAUUUUAUUUUUUACUGAUUUACGGUAAUAAAUACAUUUAAAAAUGGCGCUACUUUGGCUCUGAAC